AGUAGGGCACUCUAAUGAGACUGCCGGUGACAAACCGGAGGAAGGUGGGGAUGACGUCAAGUCCUCAUGGCCCUUAUAGGUGGGGCUACACACGUCAUACAAUGGAUGGUACAAAGGGUCGCCAACCCGCGAGGGGGAGCCAAUCCCAUAAAGCCAUUCGUAGUCCGGAUCGCAGUCUGCAACUCGGCUGCGUGAAGUCGGAAUCGCUAGUAAUCGUGGAUCAGAAUGUCACGGUGAAUACGUUCCCGGGUCUU
This 254-nucleotide ribosomal RNA is filed under the name uncultured Polaromonas sp. Its description in RNAcentral is "partial 16S ribosomal RNA". It matches the Rfam family "Bacterial small subunit ribosomal RNA", at positions 1129 to 1382 of the family's 1533-position model. The record is from RNAcentral. Lineage: Bacteria; Pseudomonadati; Pseudomonadota; Betaproteobacteria; Burkholderiales; Comamonadaceae.